AGGACGAACGCUGGCGGCGUGCUUAACACAUGCAAGUCGAGCGGAAAGGCCCUUCGGGGUACUCGAGCGGCGAACGGGUGAGUAACACGUGGGCAACCUGCCCUUAGCUCUGGGAUAGCUCCGGGAAACCGGAAUUAAAUACCGGAUAUGACCUAGGCCGACAUCGGCCGUGGUGGAAAGUUUUUCGGCUAGGGAUGGACUCGCGGCCUAUCAGCUAGUUGGUGGGGUAAUGGCCUACCAAGGCGACGACGGGUAGCCGG
This 260-nucleotide ribosomal RNA is filed under the name uncultured bacterium. RNAcentral's name for it is "partial small subunit ribosomal RNA". It matches the Rfam family "Bacterial small subunit ribosomal RNA", at positions 26 to 290 of the family's 1533-position model. The record is from RNAcentral.